CUUUAUUCCGAAAGCCAACUUACAAUACAAGUUCUCUUAGGAUACAAAACAAGACUACCUAUAGUACCUUUUAAUACAAAGCUAUUGUGAAGAAAUGGUUACUUCUUCUAUCAGACACCUCAUGCCUCUGUCCUCCAUAUUUUUUCUUUUUGUGCACCACUUUUUAAACCCACUCCCUCUGGUGAGUAAACAUGAGGGCCCAAUGUUUGUAAUACAACACAACAAAUACAUAUUGUUGCUAUCCUAUCAGAUUUCAUCCAGUAUAGUGAAUCGCAGUCCUUAUAUAUAUAUAAUUUUUUUUAACAUUUCAAAGAAAUAAAUACAACAAAAAUUAAUACAGCUG
This 343-nucleotide long non-coding RNA is filed under the name Androctonus crassicauda. Lineage: Eukaryota; Metazoa; Arthropoda; Arachnida; Scorpiones; Buthidae. The record is from RNAcentral.